GAUGAACGCUGGCGGCGUGCCUAAUACAUGCAAGUCGAGCGAACAGACGAGGAGCUUGCUCCUCUGACGUUAGCGGCGGACGGGUGAGUAACACGUGGAUAACCUACCUAUAAGACUGGGAUAACUUCGGGAAACCGGAGCUAAUACCGGAUAAUAUAUUGAACCGCAUGGUUCAAUAGUGAAAGACGGUUUUGCUGUUACUUAUAGAUGGAUCCGCGCCGCAUUAGCUAGUUGGUAAGGUAACGGCUUAACAAGGCAACGAUGCGUAGCCGACCUGAGGGGGUGAUCGGCCACACUGGAACGGAGACACGGUCCAGACUCCUACGGGAGGCAGCAGUAGGGAAGGUUCCACAGUGGGCGAAAGCCUGACGGAGCAACGCCGCGUGAGUGAUGAAGGUCUUCGGAUCGUAAAACUCUGUUAUUAGGGAAGAACAAAUGUGUAAGUAACUAUGCACGUCUUGACGGUACCUAAUCAGAAAGCCACGGCUAACUACGUG
RNAcentral lists this ribosomal RNA (497 nucleotides) under uncultured bacterium. RNAcentral's name for it is "partial 16S ribosomal RNA". It matches the Rfam family "Bacterial small subunit ribosomal RNA", at positions 28 to 507 of the family's 1533-position model. The record is from RNAcentral.